Molecule: ribosomal RNA, 484 nt
Filed under: uncultured bacterium
Lineage: Bacteria
Description: partial 16S ribosomal RNA
Rfam family: Bacterial small subunit ribosomal RNA
Source: RNAcentral
AUUGAACGCUGGCGGCAUGCUUUACACAUGCAAGUCGAACGGCAGCGCGGGCUUCGGCCUGGCGGCGAGUGGCGAACGGGUGAGUAAUACAUCGGAACGUGCCCAGUAGUGGGGGAUAGCUCGGCGAAAGCCGGAUUAAUACCGCAUACGACCUGAGGGUGAAAGCGGGGGAUCUUCGGACCUCGCGCUAUUGGAGCGGCCGAUGGCAGAUUGGCUAGUUGGUGGGGUAAAGGCCUACCAAGGCGACGAUCUGUAGCUGGUCGGAGAGGACGACCAGCCACACUGGGACUGAGACACGGCCCAGACUCCUACGGGAGGCAGCAGUGGGGAAUUUUGGACAAUGGGCGGAAGCCUGAUCCAGCAAUGCCGCGUGUGUGAUGAAGGCCUUCGGGUUGUAAAGCACUUUUGGCGGGAACGAAAAGGACUGUGCCAAUACCACGGUUCGAUGACGGUACCCGCAGAAUAAGCACCGGCUAACUACGUG